AAUUGUUUAAAUUAAUUAUUAUUUUAACUCUUCCCUUGUUUUCUCAAAGGCUUUUUUGGGGGUUUAGCUCAGUUGGUUUAGAGCAUCGGCUUUGCAAGCCGGGGGUCAAGGGUUCGAGUCCCUUAACCUCACCAUUUAUUUAUUGUUAAAUAGGUAUGCAGCCUUUUAAGAAAUGGCUUUGUUUUAUAUUGAGUGAAUGAAUUUUUCAUGGCUUUAAAAGAUGUGUUUUUAUGUUGUUUGUUGUCUUGAUGAAUUUGCUUUUUAUGAAUUCCAAAACUUGA
RNAcentral lists this transfer RNA (281 nucleotides) under Borrelia miyamotoi. RNAcentral describes it as "partial 16S-23S ribosomal RNA intergenic spacer". The stretch from base 58 to 132 matches the Rfam family "tRNA". The record is from RNAcentral. Lineage: Bacteria; Pseudomonadati; Spirochaetota; Spirochaetia; Spirochaetales; Borreliaceae.